This 252-nucleotide unclassified non-coding RNA is filed under the name Ascomycota sp. Its description in RNAcentral is "partial contains small subunit ribosomal RNA, internal transcribed spacer 1, and 5.8S ribosomal RNA". The stretch from base 1 to 47 matches the Rfam family "Eukaryotic small subunit ribosomal RNA", at positions 1785 to 1831 of the family's 1831-position model. Lineage: Eukaryota; Fungi; Ascomycota. The record is from RNAcentral.
AAAGUCGUAACAAGGUUUCCGUAGGUGAACCUGCGGAAGGAUCAUUAAAAAAAUAAGAGGAAUUUUCAUAUUCUCAAACCCCUGCAGUGUACUUGUUCUUGUUGCUUCCGUGGGCAGUAGGCCUUGCGCUUGCGACCACUUUCACGGUGGACCUGCGGGAGGUUAUCAAAAACUUCUUCUAUAUAUGGUAUCUGUCUGAGCUUGUUUAGUUCAUAAACGUUAAAACUUUCAACAACGGAUCUCUUGGUUCUC